CCUACGGGAGGCAGCAGUGAGGAAUAUUGGUCAAUGGGCUUACGCCUGAACCAACCAAGUCGCGUGAGGGAAGACUGCCCUAUGGGUUGUAAACCUCUUCUGUCAGGGAGCAAUUGGCGCUACGUGUAGCGUUAUCGAGAGUACCUGAAGAAAAAGCAUCGGCUAACUCCGUGCCAGCAGCCGCGGUAAUACGGAGGAUGCGAGCGUUAUCCGGAUUGAUUGGGUUUAAAGGGUGCGUAGGCGGAAUGCCAAGUCAGCGGUAAAAUCGCGGGGCUCAACCUCGCUCCGCCGUUGAAACUGGCGUUCUUGAGUGGGCGAGAAGUAUGCGGAAUGCGUGGUGUAGCGGUGAAAUGCAUAGAUAUCACGCAGAACUCCGAUUGCGAAGGCAGCAUACCGGCGCCCAACUGACGCUGAAGCACGAAAGCGUGGGUAUCGAACAGGAUUAGAUACCCCUGUAGUC
This 460-nucleotide ribosomal RNA is filed under the name uncultured bacterium. RNAcentral's name for it is "partial 16S ribosomal RNA". It matches the Rfam family "Bacterial small subunit ribosomal RNA", at positions 338 to 795 of the family's 1533-position model. The record is from RNAcentral.